Molecule: ribosomal RNA, 497 nt
Filed under: uncultured bacterium
Lineage: Bacteria
Description: partial 16S ribosomal RNA
Rfam family: Bacterial small subunit ribosomal RNA
Source: RNAcentral
GAUGAACGCUGGCGGCGUGCCUAAUACAUGCAAGUCGAGCGAACGGACGAGAAGCUUGCUUCUCUGAUGUUAGCGGCGGACGGGUGAGUAACACGUGGACAACCUACCUAUAAGACUGGGAUAACUUCGGGAAACCGGAGCUAAUACCGGAUAAUAUUUUGAACCGCAUGGUUCACAAGUGAAAGACGGUCUUGCUGUCACUUAUAGAUGGAUCCGCGCUGCAUUAGCUAGCUGGUAAGGUAACGGCUUACCAAGGCAACGAUGCAUAGCCGACCUGAGAGGGUGAUCGGCCACACUGGAACUGAGCCACGGUCCAGACUCCUACGGGAGGCAGCAGUAGGGAAUCUUCCGCAAUGGGCGAAAGCCUGACGGAGCAAGGCCGCGUGGGUGAUGAAGGUCUUCGGAUCGUAAAACUCUGUUAUUAGGGAAGAACAUAUGUGUAAGUAACUGUGCACAUCUUGACGGUACCUAAUCAGAAAGCCACGGCUAACUACGUG